GCAAGUCGAACGGACAAUCACCCUUCGGGGUGUGCGUUAGUGGCGGACGGGUGAGUAACGCGUGAGGAACCUGCCUUGCAGUGGGGAAUAACAGCCGGAAACGGCUGCUAAUACCGCAUGAUGCAUAGUUGUCGCAUGGCAAUUAUGCCAAAGAUUUAUCGCUGUGAGAUGGCCUCGCGUCUGAUUAGCUUGUUGGCGGGGUAACGGCCCACCAAGGCGACGAUCAGUAGCCGGACUGAGAGGUUGGCCGGCCACAUUGGGACUGAGACACGGCCCAGACUCCUACGGGAGGCAGCAGUGGGGAAUAUUGGGCAAUGGGCGCAAGCCUGACCCAGCAAUGCCGCGUGAAGGAAGACGGUUUUCGGAUUGUAAACUUCUUUUAACAGGGACGAUAAUGACGGUACCUGUUGAAUAAGCUCCGGCUAACUACGUGCCAGCAGCCGCGGUAAUACGUAGGGAGCGAGCGUUAUCCGGAUUUACUGGGUGUAAAGGGCGUGUAGGCGGGACAACAAGUCAGAUGUGAAAGCACGGGGCUCAACUCCGUGUCUGCAUUUGAAACUGUAGUUCUUGAGUGCUGGAGAGGCUAACGGAACUCCUAGUGUAGCGGUGAAAUGCGUAGAUAUUAGGAAGAACACCAGUGGCGAAGGCGGUUAGCUGGACAGUAACUGACGCUGAGGCGCGAAAGCGUGGGUAGCAAACAGGAUUAGAUACCCUGGUAGUCCACGCAGUAAACGAUGGAUACUAUGUGUGCGGGGACUGACCCCCUGCGUGCCGCAGCAAACGCAAUAAGUAUCCCACCUGGGGAGUACGAUUCGCAAGGUUGAAACUCAAAAGGAAUUGACGGGGGCCCGCACAAGCGGUGGAGCAUGUGGUUUUAAUUCGAAGCAACGCGAAGAACCUUACCAGGUCUUGACAUCCCGAUGCCAGAUGUAGAGAUACAUCCUUUCUUCGGAACAUCGGUGACAGGUGGUGCAUGGUUGUCGUCAGCUCGUGUCGUGAGAUGUUGGGUUAAGUCCCGCAACGAGCGCAACCCCUAUUGUUAGUUGCUACGCAAGAGCACUCUAGCGAGACUGCCGUUGACAAAACGGAGGAAGGUGGGGACGACGUCAAAUCAUCAUGCCCCUUAUGACCUGGGCCACACACGUGCUACAAUGGCGUAUAACAGAGGGAGGCAAAGCCGCGAGGCAGAGCAAACCCCCAAAAUACGUCUCAGUUCGGAUUGCAGGCUGCAACUCGCCUGUAUGAAGUUGGAAUCGCUAGUAAUCGCGAAUCAGCAUGUCGCGGUGAAUACGUUCCCGGGCCUUGUACACACCGCCCGUCACACCAUGAGAGUCGGGAAC
Molecule: ribosomal RNA, 1340 nt
Filed under: uncultured rumen bacterium
Lineage: Bacteria
Description: bacterial SSU rRNA
Rfam family: Bacterial small subunit ribosomal RNA
Source: RNAcentral